This 493-nucleotide ribosomal RNA is filed under the name uncultured bacterium. Its description in RNAcentral is "bacterial SSU rRNA". It matches the Rfam family "Bacterial small subunit ribosomal RNA", at positions 28 to 507 of the family's 1533-position model. The record is from RNAcentral.
GAUGAACGCUAGCUACAGGCUUAACACAUGCAAGUCGAGGGGAAACGACAUCGAAAGCUUGCUUUUGGUGGGCGUCGACCGGCGCACGGGUGAGUAACGCGUAUCCAACCUGCCCACCACUUGGGGAUAACCUUGCGAAAGUAAGACUAAUACCCAAUGAUAUCCCACGAAGGCAUCCGAAUGGGAUUAAAGAUUUAUCGGUGAUGGAUGGGGAUGCGUCUGAUUAGCUUGUUGGCGGGGUAACGGCCCACCAAGGCAACGAUCAGUAGGGGUUCUGAGAGGAAGGUCCCCCCACAUUGGAACUGAGACACGGUCCAAACUCCUACGGGAGGCAGCAGUGAGGAAUAUUGGUCAAUGGGCGAGAGCCUGAACCAGCCAAGUAGCGUGCAGGAUGACGGCCCUAUGGGGUUGUAAACUGCUUUAUAAGGGAAUAAAGUGAGUCUCGUGAGACUUUUUGCAUGUACCUUAUGAAUAAGGACCGGCUAAUUCCGUG